CGUCCUCAAUCUGCUGUGGACAGAUCCAGUGAAUAUGCGCGUCGAUGCCGCCAGCGGUGAGGAUGCGUCCUUCCCCGGCGAUGGCUUCGGUGCCUGGACCGACAAUGAUAUCCACCCCCGGCUGAAUAUCCGGGUUGCCCGCCUUGCCGAUGGCGACGAUGCGUCCGUCGCGAAUCCCCACAUCGGCUUUGACCACGCCCCAGUGGUCCAGAAUCAGCGCGUUGGUGAUCACCGUGUCCACGGCGCCAUCAGCGCGGCUGGCCUGGGAUUGCCCCAUGCCGUCGCGCAG
This 289-nucleotide small RNA is filed under the name Magnetofaba australis IT-1. Its description in RNAcentral is "5' ureB small RNA". It matches the Rfam family "5' ureB small RNA". Lineage: Bacteria; Pseudomonadati; Pseudomonadota; Magnetococcia; Magnetococcales; Magnetococcaceae. The record is from Rfam by way of RNAcentral.